GUGUGCCCUUCCGGUCUUGGCCACAAAAUUUUAAGGAUCCUUAAGUCCAAGGGACUUGCCCCAGACCUUCCAGAGGAUCUGUACCACUUGAUCAAGAAAGCUGUUGCUGUUCGGAAACAGAAAGGAUAAAGAUGCCAAAUUUCGUCUAUUCUGAUUGAGAGCAGAAUUCACAGGCUGGCUCGUUACUACAAGACCAAGAGAGUACUCCCACCCAACUGGAAGUACGAGUGAUCCACGGCUUCAGCUCUGGUCGCAUAAGAGUUCACUCUUCUUUUUACUGAAAGAAUAAAGUCACAUUAAAGACCAA
This is a long non-coding RNA of Dermochelys coriacea (leatherback sea turtle), 307 nucleotides long. RefSeq lists it as uncharacterized. The record is from RefSeq and is a predicted model, not a curated record. Lineage: Eukaryota; Metazoa; Chordata; Testudines; Dermochelyidae. The transcript has 3 exons.